Centrocercus urophasianus (Greater sage-grouse) is the source of this 481-nucleotide long non-coding RNA. RefSeq lists it as uncharacterized. NCBI's taxonomy places the organism in Eukaryota, Metazoa, Chordata, Aves, Galliformes, Phasianidae. The transcript is spliced from 3 exons. The record is from RefSeq and is a predicted model, not a curated record.
CUGAGAAACACAGCUUCAGUAGCACGCAUAAGGGCAGAGUCCAGCAUUACAUUGAGACAUAACAAUCUUUAACAAGCAAGUCCUUGGUCUGGAGUUUCUGGUCUUUUUUGCAGCUACAGAAAUUUUUCUGAGGAUUAGAUAAAGCAACAAGAAGCUCACGGUUGCGACCACCCACUGGGAGGAUCUCUGUGCUAUAAUUGUACCUUAGACACACUGCCAGUCAUCUGAAAUGAGCAUUCUUCUCACAGGAUGGCUGAGGUGUCUUCAGUGUCCAUCUGCUCAAACCCUUGCCUGUGCGGGGACACUCAAAGGACUGUCCAGGCAGCUUCUGAAGAUCUCUGUGGAGGAGACACCACAGCUUCCCUGGACAACCUGUGUCAGUGCUCCAUCAUCUACACAACACAGAAGUGCUGCUUGAUUUUCAGUGGGAACUUCCUCUGUUUCAUUUUGUUUCUAAGGGCCCACUGGAAAUAAAUGAAAA